UCGCCUGUUUAUCAAAAACAUCGCCUCUUGAAAAAUAUAAGAGGUCCAGCCUGCCCAGUGACUCUGUUCAACGGCCGCGGUAUCCUAACCGUGCGAAGGUAGCGUAAUCACUUGUUCUUUAAAUGAGGACUAGUAUGAAAGGCAUCACGAGGGUUAUACUGUCUCCUUUUUCUAAUUAGUGAAACUAAUCUCCCCGUGAAGAAGCGGGGAUCUUUAUAUAAGACGAGAAGACCCUAUGGAGCUUUAAAUAAUAUAACAAUUGCUACUUUAUCUCUAUUAACUUUAUAUCAUCUAGCAAUAUGAUUAUUAAUUUUUGGUUGGGAUGACCGCGGAGCAUAACAUAACCUCCAUAUUGAAAGGAUAAUUCUCCUAAGCUAAAAGCAACAACUUUAUGCAUCAAUAAAUUGACAUCAAUUGACCCAAUAUAUUUGAUCAACGAACCAAGUUACCCUAGGGAUAACAGCGCAAUCUACUUUAAGAGCCCAUAUCGACAAGUAGGUUUACGACCUCGAUGUUGGAUCAGGGUAUCCUAGUGGUGCAGCCGCUACUAAUGGUUCGUUUGUUCAACGAUUAAAACCCUACGUGAUCUGAGUUCAGACGGGA
This 603-nucleotide ribosomal RNA is filed under the name Thoropa miliaris (rock river frog). RNAcentral's name for it is "partial 16S ribosomal RNA". It matches the Rfam family "Bacterial large subunit ribosomal RNA", at positions 1796 to 2620 of the family's 2925-position model. Lineage: Eukaryota; Metazoa; Chordata; Amphibia; Anura; Cycloramphidae. The record is from RNAcentral.